Molecule: long non-coding RNA, 1529 nt
Organism: Canis lupus familiaris (dog)
Lineage: Eukaryota; Metazoa; Chordata; Mammalia; Carnivora; Canidae
Exons: 3
Source: RefSeq, a predicted model, not a curated record
GCAAGUUACCUAGUUUCUCUGUAUCUUAGUUUGUCUGGUCUACAAAAUAAUAAUUAUUAUGAUUAUUGUCAUAACACCUAAGAGCUGCCCUAAAUUUUAGCUGCCUUAAACCCAAACCUUAUCAUAAUUAUAAUUAUUCAAGUAUAGACUCCUUGAGAACAAGAACCAUAUCAUAUAUUCCUAUUUUAAUUUCAUCACCUGAAAUAGUAGUAGUUAUAUUUAAAAACUCAAAUAAGUAUUUUAAAGUUAAACACAAUUUAUAUAAGGAAAGAGAAGUAAACAGCACUGUGAAACCAUUAACAGCAUUCUGUGAUCCCAGAGGUAGAGUGGUAAGAAGAGGAAAGAGUAUGAAUGGAUGGACCAAGAUCAUAAAUACUUUUGACAUUGUUGUGCACUUUUCUUCCCAUGAGCUGUUUUCAGAAAAGGACUAAACUUCCAUUUGAAGUCUGCAGUCUGACACCUGGUUGUCCUACGAUGACGCUUCCUCUGAGUCAGAUGGGCCCCUCCUACUUGGGCAAGGAAGAUGUUAAGGAUUAAAACUGGCUGGGACCAAUGUCUUCGUUGCUGCUUCUCAGUCUCCAGUGACCUCAGACUAUAUUUUUAACCCUACGCAGGACCAGCUGAACAUGAACAGAAAGAUUGUGGGGAAAAAAGAGGGACAAGAGCAGAAGCAGGAAGAUGGAAAGCUCCAUAAAAGAGGUUUAGUGGACAAGGUGACAGAAGUAGUGAUGUAAGUCAUCAAAUUCUUACUACAUUUGAAGGAAGACCUCGCAGGAAUGCUGACUGAUGAAAUGCAGAGUAUGAAAGAAGGAAAGUCAAAGAUAUCUUAGAAGUUUUAGACUGAACAACCAGAAAAGCAGAGCUCCCAUUUACUGACAUAGGACGUCUAUUAACAUAAUGGAUUUAAAGAGAAUAAGAGAAACUCCUGUUUGGACAUUUGUUAGAUAUCUAAGUGCACAGAGUAAGUCACAUAUUUAAGUGUAGACAUUUAAAUGUAUAUAAAGGGAUAGAAGUAUGAGAUUCGGGGAGCCAAGUCAUCAACAUACGGCUGGCAUUUUAAGCCAAAAGAUGAGAUGAAAUCAAUAAGGAAAAAAUACAGACAAGAAAGAGAAGUCUAAGACCUGGGCCCUGGGGCACCUCAAAGUCCAGAAAUGGAGGAGAUAAGAAGGAACGAGCAGAGGAAAGUGAGAACAUGUGGCCAGUGAGGAAAGAACACAUGGAGCACGUGAGGGCCUGAAGGUCAGGAAGAAAGAAUGUGUGAGAAUGAGACUGUAGCCAGCAUGUCAAAAGCCACUGGUAGGUCAAGAGGAAGACAGAAAACUGCCUACUGGAUGUCACAGUAUAAAGAAAUAUGAAGAACGUGAGCUGAGAGGACAGAGGAGGUGCUGAAGUUUACGGAGGAAAGAACAUGCUUUCUAGGCAGCAUUAAUGUCCUGUUGAAGUUUGUUAUCAUGAAUUUAAAGUGAGGCCAGCCCAGGUGGCUCAGCGGUUUAGCGCCACCUUCAGCCCAGGGCGUGAUCCUGCAGACC